RNAcentral lists this ribosomal RNA (175 nucleotides) under Escherichia coli. RNAcentral's name for it is "partial 16S ribosomal RNA". It matches the Rfam family "Bacterial small subunit ribosomal RNA", at positions 1 to 169 of the family's 1533-position model. Lineage: Bacteria; Pseudomonadati; Pseudomonadota; Gammaproteobacteria; Enterobacterales; Enterobacteriaceae. The record is from RNAcentral.
AAAUUGAAGAGUUUGAUCAUGGCUCAGAUUGAACGCUGGCGGCAGGCCUAACACAUGCAAGUCGAACGGUAACAGGAAACAGCUUGCUGUUUCGCUGACGAGUGGCGGACGGGUGAGUAAUGUCUGGGAAACUGCCCGAUGGAGGGGGAUAACUACUGGAAACGGUAGCUAAUAC